Molecule: non-coding RNA, 797 nt
Organism: Aegilops tauschii subsp. strangulata
Lineage: Eukaryota; Viridiplantae; Streptophyta; Magnoliopsida; Poales; Poaceae
Source: RefSeq, a predicted model, not a curated record
UCUCUCUAUAUAUAUAUAUAUCUCUCUCUAAAUUCAUGGUAUCAAGAAUAACUACGUACUGAUACUAAUUAAGCUAUACCUUUCAGGUGUUUUAUGAAAUGCCCUCCGUCCGGAAAUACUUGUCAUCAAAAUGAAUAAAAGGAGAUCACAAUGUUGGACACGACCACCUAAGAAUUGAAUAUUUUUAGUUGGAAUACUAUUUUAAUGAUCAAUCACAAUGUUGGACGCGACUACCUACUUAUUCCCGAGACUUUAAGUCUUUGGUGGCUUAAGCACAAUAUGCCCGGCAUAUGUUCUACAUCUGCGGCAUGUAAUGACCCUACUGGCAUUUCAAGAGGUCUGUAAAUACAACACUCUUCCAAAGUAUUUCCAAGAUUUACUAUAUUUUUGCAGCAGGCUACAUGCUUCUCUGAAUGACCGUUUAAGGAGUGAACAUGAAUUGCUGAUGUAUAUGUUCCAUGCUCCAUGGGGAGGGGAACAAGGAUUGAUUUUCGCCAGGAGUAGGGAGAGUAUGGUGAGUUACUUCUAUGCUUCAAGGGGCUUCCAGAACUACUUGAUUUUGAAACAAGUCACUAGGUACUGCUCAGAUGAAUUAUAUGGAUUGUACCACCGUCCGUCCAAGCUGUAGAAACUCCUAUCCCUGAAUUUCUAUUUAUUGGAACCAUUAGAUUUAUUAGUAUUUUAGUCAUUACAUUUCUACAGAGGCUAUGUGAAGCAAAGAAACUCCUAUCCCUUUUAAAUUUUAAUACAUGUAAAGUACUACAUGUCAGUAAGGAGCUGACACUCUUGGACGGUGA